This 119-nucleotide ribosomal RNA is filed under the name Triticum dicoccoides. The record is from RNAcentral. Lineage: Eukaryota; Viridiplantae; Streptophyta; Magnoliopsida; Poales; Poaceae.
AGAUGCGAUCAUACCAGCACUAAAGCACCGGAUCCCAUCAAAACUCCGAAGUUAAGCGUGCUUCGGCGAGAGUAGUACUAGGAUGGGUGACCUCCUGGGAAGUCCUCGUGUUGCAUUCC